GGCGAGUGAAGCGGCAACAGCUCAAAUUUGAAAUCUGGCGUCUUUGGCGUCCGAGUUGUAAUUUGCAGAGGGCGCUUUGGCAUUGGCAGCGGUCCAAGUUCCUUGGAACAGGACGUCACAGAGGGUGAGAAUCCCGUACGUGGUCGCUAGCCUUUACCGUGUAAAGCCCCUUCGACGAGUCGAGUUGUUUGGGAAUGCAGCUCUAAAUGGGAGGUAAAUUUCUUCUAAAGCUAAAUACUGGCCAGAGACCGAUAGCGCACAAGUAGAGUGAUCGAAAGAUGAAAAGCACUUUGGAAAGAGAGUUAAAAAGCACGUGAAAUUGUUGAAAGGGAAGCGCUUGCAGCCAGACUUGCCUGUAGUUGCUCAUCCGGGUUUCUACCCGGUGCACUCUUCUAUAGGCAGGCCAGCAUCAGUUUGGGCGGUUGGAUAAAGGUCUCUGUCAUGUACCUCCUUUCGGGGAGAACUUAUAGGGGAGACGACAUGCAACCAGCCUGGACUGAGGUCCGCGCAUCUGCUAGGAUGCUGGCGUAAUGGCUGUAAGCGGCCCGUCUUGAAACACGGACCAAGGAGUCUAACAUCUAUGCGAGUGUUUGGGUGUCAAGCCCGAGCGCGUAAUGAAAGUGAACGGAGGUGGGAACCUUUCGGGGUGCACCAUCGACCGAUCCUGAUGUCUUCGGAUGGAUUUGAGUAAGAGCAUAGCUGUUGGGACCCGAAAGAUGGUGAACUAUGCUUGAAUAGGGUGAAGCCAGAGGAAACUCUGGUGGAGGCUCGCAGCGGUUCUGACGUGCAAAUCGAUCGUCAAAUUUGGGCAU
RNAcentral lists this ribosomal RNA (812 nucleotides) under Nothophoma quercina. RNAcentral's name for it is "eukaryotic LSU rRNA". It matches the Rfam family "Eukaryotic large subunit ribosomal RNA", at positions 88 to 918 of the family's 3401-position model. Lineage: Eukaryota; Fungi; Ascomycota; Dothideomycetes; Pleosporales; Didymellaceae. The record is from RNAcentral.